CAGCAGCCGCGGGAAUACGUAGGUGGCAAGCGUUGUCCGGAAUUAUUGGGCGUAAAGCGCGCGCAGGUGGUUUAAUAAGUCUGAUGUGAAAGCCCACGGCUCAACCGUGGAGGGUCAUUGGAAACUGUUAAACUUGAGUGCAGGAGAGAAAAGUGGAAUUCCUAGUGUAGCGGUGAAAUGCGUAGAGAUUAGGAGGAACACCAGUGGCGAAGGCGGCUUUUUGGCCUGUAACUGACACUGAGGCGCGAAAGCGUGGGGAGCAAACAGGAUUAGAUACCCCUGUAGUCCCUGUCUCUUAUAU
RNAcentral lists this ribosomal RNA (301 nucleotides) under uncultured bacterium. Its description in RNAcentral is "partial 16S ribosomal RNA". It matches the Rfam family "Bacterial small subunit ribosomal RNA", at positions 509 to 809 of the family's 1533-position model. The record is from RNAcentral.